RNAcentral lists this small nucleolar RNA (113 nucleotides) under Canis lupus familiaris (dog). RNAcentral describes it as "Small nucleolar RNA SNORD22 (ENSCAFG00030019998.1)". It matches the Rfam family "Small nucleolar RNA SNORD22". Rfam says of the family: U22 is a member of the C/D class of snoRNA which contain the C (UGAUGA) and D (CUGA) box motifs. The record is from RNAcentral. RNAcentral also lists the same sequence under 1 other name. Lineage: Eukaryota; Metazoa; Chordata; Mammalia; Carnivora; Canidae.
UCUCAUAAAUGAAUAAAUAAAAUCUUAAAAAAAAAAGACUGGCUUAGGUGAACCCACUGGGGCUGGCUGGGGAAAAGGAGGAGGCUUGCUCCAGAAGGAACUGUCUGAGGGAU